AUCUAAGUACCCCGAGGAAAAGAAAUCAACCGAGAUUCCCCCAGUAGCGGCGAGCGAACGGGGAGGAGCCCAGAGCCUGAAUCAGCAUGUGUGUUAGUGGAAGCGUCUGGAAAGGCGCGCGAUACAGGGUGACAGCCCCGUACACAAAAGCGCAUGUGCUGUGAGCUCGAUGAGUAGGGCGGGACACGUGGUAUCCUGUCUGAAUAUGGGGGGACCAUCCUCCAAGGCUAAAUACUCCUGACUGACCGAUAGUGAACCAGUACCGUGAGGGAAAGGCGAAAAGAACCCCGGCGAGGGGAGUGAAAAAGAACCUGAAACCGUGUACGUACAAGCAGUGGGAGCACCCUUCGGGGUGUGACUGCGUACCUUUUGUAUAAUGGGUCAGCGACUUAUAUUCUGUAGCAAGGUUAACCGUAUAGGGGAGCCGGAGGGAAACCGAGUCUUAAUUGGGCGUUAAGUUGCAGGGUAUAGACCCGAAACCCGGUGAUCUAGCCAUGGGCAGGUUGAAGGUUGGGUAACACUAACUGGAGGACCGAACCGACUAAUGUUGAAAAAUUAGCGGAUGACCUGUGGCUGGGGGUGAAAGGCCAAUCAAACCGGGAGAUAGCUGGUUCUCCCCGAAAGCUAUUUAGGUAGCGCCUCGUGAAUUCAUCUCCGGGGGUAGAGCACUGUUUCGGCUAGGGGGCCAUCCCGGCUUACCAACCCGAUGCAAACUGCGAAUACCGGAGAAUGUUAUCACGGGAGACACACGGCGGGUGCUAACGUCCGUCGUGAAGAGGGAAACAACCCAGACCGC
Molecule: ribosomal RNA, 796 nt
Filed under: Salmonella enterica subsp. enterica serovar Typhimurium
Lineage: Bacteria; Pseudomonadati; Pseudomonadota; Gammaproteobacteria; Enterobacterales; Enterobacteriaceae
Description: partial 23S ribosomal RNA
Rfam family: Bacterial large subunit ribosomal RNA
Source: RNAcentral